Molecule: ribosomal RNA, 290 nt
Filed under: uncultured bacterium
Lineage: Bacteria
Description: partial 16S ribosomal RNA
Rfam family: Bacterial small subunit ribosomal RNA
Source: RNAcentral
GACGAACGCUGACGGUGUGCUUUAGACAUGCAAGUCGAACGCGAAAGCCCUUCGGGUUAGUAGAGUGGCGAACGGGUGAGUAACACGUGGGCAAUCUGCCCCUCGCAGGGGGACAACCGGAGGAAACUCCGGCUAAUACCCCGUACGCUUGUAGGAUCGCAUGAUCUUACAAGGAAAGGUAGCUUCGGCCAUCCGGCGAGGGAUGAGCCCGCGGUGCAUUAGCUAGUUGGUGGGGUAACGCCCACCAAGGCGACGAUGCAUAGCUGGUCUGAGAGGAUGAUCAGCCACAC